GUAGGUGGCAAGCGUUGUCCGGAAUUAUUGGGCGUAAAGCGCGCGCAGGUGGUUCUUUAAGUCUGAUGUGAAAGCCCCCGGGCUCAACCGGGGAGGGUCAUUGGAAACUGGGGAACUUGAGUGCAGGAGAGGAAAGUGGAAUUCUACGUGUAGCGGUGAAAUGCGUAGAUAUGUGGAGGAACACCAGUGGCGAAGGCGACUUUCUGGCCUGUAACUGACACUGAGGCGCGAAAGCGUGGGGAGCAAACAGGAUUAGAUACCCUGGUAGUCCACGCCGUAAACGAUGAGUGCUAAGUGUUGGGGGGUUUCCGCCCCUCAGUGCUGCAGCUAACGCAUUAAGCACUCCGCCUGGGGAGUACGGUCGCAAAGACUG
RNAcentral lists this ribosomal RNA (373 nucleotides) under uncultured organism. RNAcentral's name for it is "partial 16S ribosomal RNA". It matches the Rfam family "Bacterial small subunit ribosomal RNA", at positions 527 to 896 of the family's 1533-position model. The record is from RNAcentral.